Molecule: non-coding RNA, 2913 nt
Organism: Triticum urartu
Lineage: Eukaryota; Viridiplantae; Streptophyta; Magnoliopsida; Poales; Poaceae
Source: RefSeq, a predicted model, not a curated record
CUCUCCUCCUCCCGUCGAAGACCCAACGCGUGGUCGAUGUUGCCACUCGCCCCUCUCCUUCUCCCGCGUCUUCGACCCCGCCCUCGCGAUCUCCCGAUGCUCUGUCGAGUGGAGAAGAGGGGUGCGGCAGAGAAGGAGACCGGAGGAUGGCGAUGGGGGAAGGAGCAGCAGGGUUGGAGCACCCUGGCCAUCGUCCCCAUCCCCAAUGCCUCCCCCGCUUCCUCCGCACCUCGCCCCGUUCCCCUCCUUCCCUGCUCUCCACUACGCCUCCUCCUCUCCUUCAGUUUUCUCUUCGGCGACGCUGCCAAAGAAAGUGCACACGGGCGGUGGAUCCGUGCCGGAGAAGGGCGGCGGCGACUGCGCUCCGGUCGUGGUGGGGUGCAGCCGCCGGGAAGAUAAAGGUGAGGACUUGUUGGUGAGCUGCUACUACAUCGAAUGCGACAUGAACGAGUUCGUAAUAUUGCCAGCGCAGUCUCUCAUGUUCCUACUCCACAGCUGUAUUCCAACACCCCUUCAGACUUCGAUUUCAAGCUUGAAAGUCUAGCACAAGAAUUCGGCUCCCUGUCUGAAUUCGCGGAGCAUCUUGCUGCCAACGUUGACAUUGUCUUCCCGGUGAUACAUGGGAAAUUUUGUGAAGGUGAUGGUAUUCAGGUUCGAAGUUACCAACGAAUAUUAAAUAUGCUUUACAUGCAAGAGCAAAUUAUGCUGGUGCCACAGUGCAUGCUUGCAGGUAUUAGUGCGCUUGAUUUGGCACGAACUGGCAUGUAAUGCUGAAUGUGUCUUGGUUCUUUUAUAAGAAUCCCACAUUGUUGCUGCUUUCUGUUGAUGAUAAGACGCUAACACCUACCAAAUGGCUGCGCUCCGGUCAUGGUGGGGUGCAGCCGCCGGGAAGAUAAAGUAGGUCUGCUGCCCGUCUCCGCCUCUCACCGCGCCCUUGCUGCCUCCAUGGCCAAGCGCACGUUUUUUUUCUCUGUCCCUCCAUGGCGCUCGUUACCGGCGGGAUACAUUUGACACUAUCUUCAAAUCCAGUUUAUUUGACAUGUGUUUGAAAUGUAUAUUUAGCAUAAAGAUAAUACUGCAUUUCCUUAGGGACCUUAGUUUUGGCUCUGUUCUUGCUCAUAUUAUAAGUAAAAUAUUAAUACUUUGUGUCUCCGGCCAGUUCUUGAUCAAAGGAAGAUGCAUUAACAAUUCGUGUCUCCAACCGGUUUAGAUCAUAGGAAACUAUGGCAUAAUGCACUGCUGAAUUUUCUUGUUAGUGCUCACUGACAAUAUUUGUUCUCAUGUACGGUAAUGCCUUCCGGUUAAACUAGGAAUUAGUUCAUUAUUGAAAGGUUCAAUCUGCAUUUUUUUUGCUUCAUUCAUUUUUGUUCUAUUUAUUUUGAAUAGAAAACCAUCUUUGGUAUGCUUAGAUAGGGCUUAUUUAAUACAGUACAAGCAAAAUUGGAAGUAAUAGCAAACCAGCCAUGAAAAGUUUGAGAGACCAUGCAAACCACAAGAAAUGAUGUGCUCCUGUUAUUUUGCCAUGAUCUUGUGGCCCAAUUCCAAGGCUCUAUCAACUAAUGUUAGCUACUUGCUUCUUUAGAUGCCUUAAUUAGAGCCAGCAAGGAAGAUGGCUCGGCCCUGCCACCGAUGCCCACCGGCCACUUCCGUCAGGCUCCGUCGUGGGAGGGGGCGCACCAUUUUUGGGUGUUCCUUCCUACAGCUAUCUUGACCAUUUGCUCUGGAAGGAGUAAUUCAACUCAGGAAGAACAAAUAAUUUGAGACUUUUUGUCUUUCCUACGAUCUGUUCAGGAACUGUAUCACAACAGAUCAUUGGCAUUGUAGCUUCAGUGGACAUGUAUGCUGAAUAUCCCCUCACUGGACAAGAUUGGAUUUUAGUGUAUACAAGCCCUCCUCUCAGCUGCUAAGGCAUAAACACCUUACUGCAAAUGUUCUUCGUGUCUCGCCUCCCCGUCGUGAUGGGUGGCUCCUACAGCUUCGCCAUGCCAACCAUCUCCAUCAUCUUGGCUGGACGCUACGACAUGUGGGAGAUCCUCACGAGUUUAACACAUAUUGGAGGGUGGGAGGAUAUACCGGUGCAAUGGAUGAACCAAGACUACCAAGAGGUCAAUUGCGUGAGUAUAUGCCAACUAUCUGAUACAUAUGGCAUGAGACUGACGCCCCUUAGUUCCUCCCUGAAUGUUUGCUUGUUGACUGUCAGGUCUUCUUUCAUCGGAAAUUGUUGUGCACUGAUAAUUUUGUUAGUUCUCACCCUCCUAUUCAAACAGAAUUCAAGCAUAUUACGUGAUGUAUGUAUAUAAGAAGCUUAGUCGUGUGUCAGGCUUUGCAAAUAAAACUUAGAGCUCAAGUAGUUCAGAAUCAUACUGAAUAUCGCUUAUCAUGUAUCUAUAAUAACAAGCAUAACUGACUAUGAUUUUUUUUAGGAUAUUAUUUUCAGAUUUAAGGAAAGGAAACCUGGCAGAGUUUCAGGGAAGUGGAGUGAGUUCCCUAUUUACAUUUAAAUUGUACUCCCUUCCUUCUUGAAAAGAAGGCAUAUCAGUUUUGGUCAAAGUCAAACAAUGUAUUGGUUUGCUCUUUUGCUACAUGUUCUUAAAUUAUUGCAUGAUGCAUCUCUAGGCGGUGAGACCAGAAGCUGGGUGAUCAAAGCAACUACAUGAUGCAUCUCUGUCUAUGUAGCUGCUUACCAUAAGCUGGGUGAUCAAAGCAAUCUACAUGAUGCAUCUCUGUCUAUGUAGCUUUACUUAGCAUAAACUGAUCUUAAUGACUUUGUUUAAACCUAUGAGCCUACCAUCUAUGUAGCUUCAUACCAUCUGUAUAAUGUGUCCCUUCCUAUCUACUUCCCUUGUGUAUCACAUUGUAACGAAGCAUUUAUGUACCAGCAGUAAAGACUUGGGUGUCUGAAUAUUCUUACAA